This 3154-nucleotide long non-coding RNA is filed under the name Sus scrofa (pig). Its description in RNAcentral is "lncRNA (ENSSSCG00005010908.1)". The record is from RNAcentral. Lineage: Eukaryota; Metazoa; Chordata; Mammalia; Artiodactyla; Suidae.
AGCAAUGAGAGCACAGGAGCCUGGGCCCCACUUCCCACCUUGCACCUGCUGUGGGAGGCCAUAUCAAUAGCUGUCUCCUUUAAGCCACUGUGUUCUGCAUCUCUGAUGUAGCAGCUGAGCUUACAUCCUUCCACUGUGAUGAGGAACUCAGAGGUCAGCUGGAAUUCAUGGGUGCGUGGCCUCGAACUGCCCCAAAAUGCGUUGGUCCAUGAGAAUUCAGAGUGACACCAACACCCAGGCGCUUGUGAUUCCUGGACCCCGUGAGCCCAGCUUCCUCUCAUGCCACUCUGGCCCGCACCACACCAUGCCCUCAAGUUCCCACAACAGUAACAACAACCCAGGGGACGUAGGUGGACUGAACUGACUUGAGCGAAAGAGAUUGGCUGAGUGCCUGGGUGGAGCAGGGCCAGUGACUCUCACACAGACUUUGUGAGAGACCUGGCUGGACCCCCAUGUCUCCUUCUCUCCACCCCAGGAGCCCAUUUUCCCCCAGCUGCCUGUGACAGCCAUGGAAUGCCCCUUGCGGCCCUCAACUCACACCAAGGAGCCCUGCCACAUCUGUAUGGCAGGAAAUUGAAAGGAGCCAUCCCUGGCAGACCAGAACUCCUCUAUCUUUGGAAAAUGUGGUACUCUUUCCUGACUUUCCACCAUUCAAUCUGUUCAAUCACUUUCUAUUUUUGCUGAAAUGUCUCUUGGUCUUCCAAAAGGCAGGAAUUUCUUCUUGGUCUCUCGACUGUUAAAUUGGUUCUAUUUAGCAUCUUCCUGGCAGUCAGGAGUGGUCUGAUUCCUGAGCUCAUUUUACCAGGGAGUUGCCUUUGGCUGCAAAUGAUUCACACCUUUUGAAGUAAUCAGAAGUAAUGAAAGAUCUUUUUUUUUUUUUUUAAUGGUUUUCUGACUGUGAUAAAGAUAACCUCUAAGUUCUCUUCCAGCUUAAUGUCUGACCUUGGGAACACAAACUAGGUGUCUGGUCACAGUAGCCUGGGCUUUGCCUCUAGGGGGUUCCUCUCUGGGCUUCAGAAUCUCAAUCCAAAAAUUGAUGGGGGUUGGGGUGGGCCAGAUCUAGGAUAUCAGAUCAUUUCAGUAAAGUGGCUGAGGCUGCCUGGAGAAAUAUGCUAAGACGGGCUCAGAAGGUCAUUAGGGAAAAGUGCUGUGAUCUAUUGGUAAUGUCUGCCAAGGCCGUGAGAGAGGCAAAUGGUAAGGACACAUUUUGUUGACUCGGGGCUAGACGAUCCUGAAGAGCCUUCUAGCUCUGUAACCCUGUCUGGCUCUCAUUUUCUCCUUCCCCACAGUUUAUGCUGAGAUUUUUAAGAGGCAGUCUAGUGCAGUUAAGAAAGUGGCCUCUGAUGGACCUGGUAGCUGUAUGACCUUGGGCUUGUGUUUCUUCAAAUACAAACAAUAAUGUUUUGCUGCUAGAAUUUCCCCUUGAAUAUAGAGCCAGAGUGAAAUCUUAUCUAUAUCCCUUUAUAAAUGAGUCUGUCCUGCUUUGUGCUUUAGAGAUGAAUAUAGACAUGGAUAUGGAUAUGGACAUAUAGAUAAGAAUAGUUUGCGUAGCUACAUAUAACACCAUAUACAUAUAGAAAUAUAUAUCCGUGCAUCCUCAUAUGUCUAUAAAGUGUGCCUAAUGCAUGCUAAUUCAUUCAUUCAGUCACUCAACACACAUAGAUGUUGCACAGCUACUAGGUGCCGGGCACUGUUGGGUGCUGAAGAUACAGCACAAGAACCAGACAGUAAGUCUCUGACUUCCUCAAGGAGUUUUUAUUCUAGGAAGAGAGCAAGACAAUAAGCAAAUGAGUAAAACUGUUUCCUGUACAUAAAGGUAGAAGCCUGCAGGAGGUGAGGGAACAGCACCCCAGGCAGAAAGAAUAGCAACUGCAAAGGCUCUAAAGCAGAAAUGAACUUGGCAGGUUCAAGGGACAGCACAAUGGCCAGAGUGGAAGGGACAUGUUGGCCAAGGGAAAGCAUCAUGGGAGAGAGGAUGAGAGGUCAGAGAGGCCAAGUCCUGAAGGGCUUUGUCACAGGUGAAGGUGUGGUUUGUGCCCUGAGUGGGAUGGAGGCUACUAGGAUUCUAAGCAGGGGAGGAACUUAGGUUUUAAAGGACCCUCUGGUUGCUGUGUGGCUAGAGAGUGUCUGAGGUUGGGAGGGAACACAGCAAGGUGGGGAGCCAGGAGCUGGAUCAAGAGGCUUUUGUAACAGCAAAGGGCAACAGGGGAUGGCGCCUCUGGCAGGGAUGGUGAAAGUGGGGAUGGGGAGAAGUGGCCAACUCACUGAUGGAGUUUGAAGAUGGAGCUCAAGGAAUUUAGGGACGGAUUUGGUCUCAGAGUGAGGGAAAGUUUUUAAAGAGGACUCCCAGGUAACACCCACAUUUUUGGCCUUGAGCAGCUGAUGAAAGGUGGAACCCAUUUACUAAGAAGGGAGGAGUAGGCAUGGGGCAAGGGGAUCAGGGUCCUGCUUGGACAAGUUAAGGUGCUCACUAGACCUGUAUUGGGGAGCCCAGAGCUGGAGAUAGAAAUUAGAUAUUAGUUGCUAAUACGUAUUUUAGGACUAUGCGCCAGAGCCAAGACUCAGCAUUUUGUAAGUUAAUACUCUGCUUUAAUCCCAUAAAAACAUUGUUGAACAAAUAACAUUUUUUAUUGCGUCAAAAACUCUCUUAGUUGUAUAGUCAUGUUCUGAUUUGAGAUCUGAUAGAAUGUGAAAAAUUGUGCAUCUUAGGAUUGAUGAGGUGUGGUCAUGUUGUUCCCGUCUUUCAGAUGAGGAAACUGAGGCUUAACUAGCUGGCUCAGGAUUUCAAAGCCAGUAACUGGCAGAGUUGGGCUUCCUGUUCUUGCCCUUUUUUUGUUACUUCUCCUGAUGCAUGUCAACUGCUUAGCAGGGUGACUGGCUCAUAGUCAGCCCCCUUAACGUGGUCACGAUUAUCAGCUGUUUAAUGCAUUGGAUCAUAGACACAUAUGUUCUGCGGGAUGCCAUGCAAUAGAAGUAAUGCACAAUGUACACACUGUACAAAGGUCAGGAGCGUAAAAAUAUCUUGGGGCUGAAAACACACAUUUGGGUGUAUGAUUGUGCAUCUUUUCAGACCAAACUCCUCUGGGCUUAAAUUUUGCAUGUAUUAAAGCAGGAAAAAAGACAUCAACUGUACUUCAAUGAAAAAAAAAAAAAA